Molecule: non-coding RNA, 30 nt
Filed under: Mus musculus (house mouse)
Lineage: Eukaryota; Metazoa; Chordata; Mammalia; Rodentia; Muridae
Source: RNAcentral
UGGAUAGGAAAUAUCCUGUUCUGGCUGGAG